GGCUUCAUAGUUCAGUUGGUUAUAGAGCGUCGCACUGGUUUCGCGAGGUCACGGGUUCAAACCCCGUUGAAGCCA
Molecule: transfer RNA, 75 nt
Filed under: Acropora cervicornis
Lineage: Eukaryota; Metazoa; Cnidaria; Anthozoa; Scleractinia; Acroporidae
Description: tRNA-Thr
Rfam family: tRNA
About the family: Transfer RNA (tRNA) molecules are approximately 80 nucleotides in length. Their secondary structure includes four short double-helical elements and three loops (D, anti-codon, and T loops).
Source: RNAcentral